This 1710-nucleotide long non-coding RNA is filed under the name Mytilus galloprovincialis (Mediterranean mussel). The record is from RNAcentral. Lineage: Eukaryota; Metazoa; Mollusca; Bivalvia; Mytilida; Mytilidae.
GGGACAGUAUGAUUUUUUAAGAUUGACCUAUAAUUAACAAUGUGUCGCCACAGAGGCAAUGAUUACUUGUAUAUGAAAUAAAUGGCUUAAAACAAAAAUCUCAAAAUGUCUUGCCUCAAUGUAUUACGCAGCAGCAACUAAAAUGUGUUAUAGGGUUAUAAGCACCUCAGAUCAACAUUGCAUGAAUCUAGUGUAUAUAAACUUUUUAUUCCUGAGGUCACAAUACUAUUGUUAUGCCCCCACCAUAUUGAGUUUUAUCCUUGUUUUUUUUUUCUGUAAGUAUGUACGUCCCUUACUUGUACGUACGUCCAUACAUCCUAAAAUUGAUUUCUGUUCUCUUACUUUAGUUUGACUGAACCAAAUUUUAUGAAACUUCUACGCAACCACAAAACACAAGUCAAGUUUGAAUUUUGUUGUCGUCACUUUUACCAUUCUAGAUGUAAAGGGGUGAAAUUUUCAGUAUACCCUAUCAAGUAUAUAUACCUUUAUAUAUAAGUUUGACUUGUAGCUUUCUUCGGUAAUACAUUUAUCAGGUGAACAUAAAAACGGUCUUUAGAUUUAGAAGUAUAGAUAUAUAAAACAAGAAUGUGUUCCCAGUACACGCAUGCCCCAUCUGCACUAUCAUUUUCUAUGUUCAGUGGACCGUGAAAAUGGAGUAAAAAAACUAAUUGGCAUUAAAAUUAGAAAGAUUAUAUCAUAGGGAACAACUAUAAUACUAAAAUAAUGAGGUCCAAUUAUCAGCCGUCAUGGGUAAACGACAAAUCAAAGAACUCAAUUUUAUAUAUAUCCAAUAUAGGACAAUGGUGUUGAUUAAAAAUUACACCACUCUUCCACAUAAUUAAUAUUCACCUGUUACCUAUUACCUUAUCUGUACGUUUCUCAUCUGACAGGCGCACCACCAAACGGUGUAUUUUGGAUUUUGCCAUAUACAUGUACACGGGUCAUAAUCACAGGGUUGACACUACUAAAUUCAAUCAUUGUCAAAUUGUUCCCUAUUGUAGUAUUUUAAGCAGUAAGACUUUCUAAGAUGACAAUACGAAUACUAAUAAACUGGACUUAAAUUAAGGCGUUUAUGUACAGUUUUCAAUUUGUUAGCGGGCAUGGCCCAUAAAACAGCGAAUCAAAGAAUUCAACUUUAUUUAUAACUAAAUUAAUAAAUAUAGGACAAUGCUGUUGAUUAAAAAAUACUCCAUUCCAGGACCUUUUGUUUUCCAAAUAAUUAAAAUUACCAAUAAUUGAUAAGUUCCAGGUCGACGGAAAGAUUUUGAAAGCAGAGAACACUGUGCAUCUUAUAAUCGGCAUGACUUUAUCAGAUGACAAUAAAUAAAGUUGUCAAUGCCAAAAUAAGGCGUAUGCAUAGUUAUAUACUUUAAUUCAGUCACGGACCCGCGAUAUCACGGGUGUGUUCUAAGUUUCAAAUUGAUUGGACUUCAACUUUAUCAAAAACUACCUUGACCAAAAAAUUUAACCUGAAUGAGACAGAGGAAUGUACGGAAGACGGACGGACGCACAGACCAGAAAACAUAAUGCCCAUAAAUUGGGCUUAAAAAGUGAUUUUUGGAAAUUGCUGGCGAGACAAUGGUUUAGUUUGAAAAAUCAAACCUGUGAUUAAAUACAUAUUUGAAAUAAUACACGUCUAUAACCUAUUUGAAAUAAUACACAUAUACAGUUGCAAACUUUCCAGAGGUGCUAUCCAGCACUUUGAUUCUA